AGGGAAUCUUCCGCAAUGGACGAAAGUCUGACGGAGCAACGCCGCGUGAGUGAAGAAGGUCUUCGGAUCGUAAAACUCUGUUGUUAGGGAAGAACAAGUAUCGUUCGAAUAGGGCGGUACCUUGACGGUACCUAACCAGAAAGCCAUGGCUAACUACGUGCCAGCAGCCGCGGUAAUACGUAGGUGGCAAGCGUUGUCCGGAAUUAUUGGGCGUAAAGCGCGCGCAGGCGGUCUUUUAAGUCUGAUGUGAAAGCCCACGGCUCAACCGUGGAGGGUCAUUGGAAACUGGAAGACUUGAGUGCAGAAGAGGAGAGUGGAAUUCCACGUGUAGCGGUGAAAUGCGUAGAGAUGUGGAGGAACACCAGAGGCGAAGGCGACUCUCUGGUCUGUAACUGACGCUGAGGCGCGAAAGCGUGGGGAGCAAAC
This 426-nucleotide ribosomal RNA is filed under the name uncultured bacterium. RNAcentral describes it as "bacterial SSU rRNA". It matches the Rfam family "Bacterial small subunit ribosomal RNA", at positions 356 to 773 of the family's 1533-position model. The record is from RNAcentral.